Molecule: ribosomal RNA, 449 nt
Filed under: uncultured bacterium
Lineage: Bacteria
Description: bacterial SSU rRNA
Rfam family: Bacterial small subunit ribosomal RNA
Source: RNAcentral
UGGGGAAUCUUGCGCAAUGGGCGAAAGCCUGACGCAGCAACGCCGCGUGUGUGAUGAAGGUCUUCGGAUCGUAAAGCACUGUCGCGAGGGACGAUACGCUACGCGCUAACAUCGCGGAGCUAAGACGGUACCUCGAGAGGAAGCACCGGCUAACUCUGUGCCAGCAGCCGCGGUAAUACAGAGGGUGCUAGCGUUGUUCGGAAUUAUUGGGCGUAAAGCGCUUGUAGGCGGCUUGUUAAGUCGCGUGUGAAAUCCCCAGGCUUAACCUGGGAAGUGCGCGCGAAACUGGCGAGCUUGAGUGCCGGAGAGGGUCGCGGAAUUCCCGGUGUAGAGGUGAAAUUCGUAGAUAUCGGGAGGAACACCAGUGGCGAAGGCGGCGACCUGGACGGACACUGACGCUGAGACGCGAAAGCGUGGGGAGCAAACAGGAUUAGAUACCCCCGUAGUCC